GGGUUUACCCAUUGGUCAGGCCUAAUUGUCUGUACUGGUGAGAUAAAUCUCUACCUUCUGAGGAACCAUGAUGUCAUUUAUUUGGUGUUGCGGGGAAUUUGGACUGUUACUUUGAAAAAAUUAGAGUGUUUAAAGCAAGCUAACGCUUGAAUACAUUAGCAUGGAAUAAUGAAAUAGGACGUUCGAUCCUAUUUUGUUGGUUUCUAGGAUUGACGUA
RNAcentral lists this ribosomal RNA (217 nucleotides) under Campeiostachys nutans. RNAcentral describes it as "Elymus nutans partial small subunit ribosomal RNA". The stretch from base 44 to 217 matches the Rfam family "Eukaryotic small subunit ribosomal RNA", at positions 689 to 864 of the family's 1831-position model. The record is from RNAcentral. Lineage: Eukaryota; Viridiplantae; Streptophyta; Magnoliopsida; Poales; Poaceae.